GACAUUAAAGCCUCCAUAGUUAUUAAUAUUCCUGGCAGCAUUAAGGAUUGAUCUACAGCAGCCCACACUAAAUGGAGGAAUACUCCAAAUACAUAUUUGUUUAAUCUGUCACAUUACCACAUAUAGAACCACGUACUGAUUUUACUUUGCAUCCCCCUCUCAUCAUUUUCAUGAGACAUGACUGGACUAAACCAUUACAUACAACAUGUUAUGAUGGAAGAACUGGGCGAUAAAAUGGGGAAGCAAACAAACAACCUGCUCCUGUCUCCUGUCAAAUCGGCUACAUCAGACCAAAUCACACCAAUAAUCUGCUCCGACGAACACUCAUUUGACAACAUUUAACAUCUGGCGGAGAGGGAUUAAGGCUAGGGAAGCGAUCGGCGGCGAAAAGGCUUAAAGCGGAGCUAACAGCUGAUGCUGCUGUCAUGACGUCAGAGGGAGAAGAUGCUCCUCCAGUUUCCAGAGGAGGAGGAUCCUGCAUCCCGGAGAUGCUGCGCACAGGACGCAUCCUCAGCUGCACCCGGCCUCACCAACUCACCGGAUAAAUAAUGCGAUUUCACCGUGCGCGGGAAAGAAAAAAAAAAAAAAGACGCAAUGUUGUUUGUCAGUACAGGGCAUGCUGACACUUUCACGCAGGAAUAGAUUUAUUUUUAUGUUUGUCCCACAGGGGAAAUAAAGCUGACAUGUUUCAAGUAACCGCAUCUUACUUAAAUAUAACUGUACAUCUUCAUUUUCACAGUUUAACUGAGCCAUCUGCAGUUUUGUUUUUUGGUAUUUUAUUACAAGUGUGAAGAUGUAUGAUGUGGUUAAAGAAAUGUACAUGGCAAAUGUCGGAUUGACUCAUAUUUCGGUGUUAUAAACCCACUGCACUUAAAUCUUACACGAACUAUUUUGCUUCCACCAUCAGAACUUCAUUUCUAGCUGUGAAGCAGCAGAUUGAUCUUAACAUUUGUUGAAAUGUAGCACCGCAGCUGACUAUAUCCACACAAUAAACUAACCUGGCUAUUUUAUUAUAUUAUAUUUUAUUGACAGUUCUUUGGUCCUGCUUUGUCCGACCAGCAGUCACAAACCCAGUACAACUUGGUGUACACUGACAAAAAACAAACAAACAAACAAACAAAAAAAACAGCAAAUGUUUCCAUCAGAGAAGCUAAAACCUGAGAUCAGUCAGAGGUUUGUAAUAAAGAAUGACUGAAACUUAUAUAUAUAUAAAUCAACACAUUAUCUGAGGGGAAUUUGUUUAUUGAUGUUAUUGUAGCAACUAUUAUAAAACUACAUCACAUGUUUAAAAGAAUAAAAUAUGAUGAUUUUUUUCCUCA
Molecule: long non-coding RNA, 1319 nt
Organism: Mugil cephalus (flathead mullet)
Lineage: Eukaryota; Metazoa; Chordata; Actinopteri; Mugiliformes; Mugilidae
Exons: 2
Source: RefSeq, a predicted model, not a curated record